CAAUAGCGUAUAUUAAAUUUGUUGCGGUUAAAAAAGCUCGUAGUUGGAUUUCUGCUGAGGACGACCGGUCCGCCCUCUGGGUGAGUAUCUGGCUCGGCCUUGGCAUCUUCUUGGGGAACGUAACUGCACUUGAUUGUGUGGUGCGGUAUCCAAGACUUUUACUUUGAGGAAAUUAGACUGUUUCAACCAGGCGCACGCCUUGAAUACAUUAGCAUGGAAUAAUAAGAUAGGACCUUGGUUCUAUUUUGUUGGUUUCUAGAACUGAGGUAAUGAUUAAUAGAGAUAGUUGGGGGCAUUCGUAUUUAACUGUCAGAGGUGAAAUUCCUGGAUUUGUUAAAGACGGACUACUGCGAAAGCAUUUGCCAAGGAUGUUUUCAUUGAUCAAGAACGAAAGUUAGGGGAUCGAAGACGAUUAGAU
RNAcentral lists this ribosomal RNA (418 nucleotides) under uncultured eukaryote. RNAcentral's name for it is "SSU rRNA". It matches the Rfam family "Eukaryotic small subunit ribosomal RNA", at positions 592 to 1013 of the family's 1831-position model. The record is from RNAcentral.